Molecule: non-coding RNA, 100 nt
Filed under: Fragilariopsis kerguelensis
Lineage: Eukaryota; Bacillariophyta; Bacillariophyceae; Bacillariales; Bacillariaceae
Source: RNAcentral
UGUAUUCCUUCUUUUUUCCUCUCCUUAUUUUCCAUCUCUUUCUGUCUCUUUCUCUCCCUAGUUCCAGGAUUUAUCAAAACACAAUCCACGGGAAGGAAAC